GAGUUUGAUCCUGGCUCAGGAUGAACGCUGGCGGCAUGCCUAAUACAUGCAAGUCGAACGAGAGGAAGGAAAGCUUGCUUUCCUGAAUCUAGUGGCGAACGGGUGAGUAACACGUAGGUAACCUGCCCAUGUGCCCGGGAUAACUUCUGGAAACGGAUGCUAAAACCGGAUAGGUAGCAGACAAGCAUUUGACUGCUAUUAAAGUGGCUUUGGCCAUGAACAUGGAUGGACCUGCGGUGCAUUAGCUGGUUGGUGAGGUAACGGCCCACCAAGGCGACGAUGCAUAGCCGGCCUGAGAGGGCGGACGGCCACAUUGGGACUGAGACACGGCCCAAACUCCUACGGGAGGCAGCAGUAGGGAAUUUUCGUCAAUGGGGGGAACCCUGAACGAGCAAUGCCGCGUGAGUGAGGAAGGUCUUCGGAUCGUAAAGCUCUGUUGUAAGAGAAAAACGGCACUCAUAGGGAAUGAUGAGUGAGUGAUGGUAUCUUACCAGAAAGUCACGGCUAACUACGUGCCAGCCGCCGCGGUAAUUC
This 534-nucleotide ribosomal RNA is filed under the name uncultured bacterium. RNAcentral's name for it is "bacterial SSU rRNA". It matches the Rfam family "Bacterial small subunit ribosomal RNA", at positions 9 to 526 of the family's 1533-position model. The record is from RNAcentral.